CUUUUACAAUGAAGAGUUUGAUCCUGGCUCAGGAUGAACGCUAGCUACAGGCUUAACACAUGCAAGUCGAGGGGCAUCAGGAAGAAAGCUUGCUUUCUUUGCUGGCGACCGGCGCACGGGUGAGUAACACGUAUCCAACCUGCCCUUUACUCGGGGAUAGCCUUUCGAAAGAAAGAUUAAUACCCGAUGGCAUAAUGAUUCCGCAUGGUUUCAUUAUUAAAGGAUUCCGGUAAAGGAUGGGGAUGCGUUCCAUUAGGUUGUUGGUGAGGUAACGGCUCACCAAGCCUUCGAUGGAUAGGGGUUCUGAGAGGAAGGUCCCCCACAUUGGAACUGAGACACGGUCCAAACUCCUACGGGAGGCAGCAGUGAGGAAUAUUGGUCAAUGGGCGCUAGCCUGAACCAGCCAAGUAGCGUGAAGGAUGAAGGCUCUAUGGGUCGUAAACUUCUUUUAUAUAAGAAUAAAGUGCAGUAUGUAUACUGUUUUGUAUGUAUUAUAUGAAUAAGGAUCGGCUAACUCCGUGCCAGCAGCCGCGGUAAUACGGAGGAUCCGAGCGUUAUCCGGAUUUAUUGGGUUUAAAGGGA
RNAcentral lists this ribosomal RNA (582 nucleotides) under Bacteroides fragilis. RNAcentral describes it as "bacterial SSU rRNA". It matches the Rfam family "Bacterial small subunit ribosomal RNA", at positions 1 to 568 of the family's 1533-position model. The record is from RNAcentral. Lineage: Bacteria; Pseudomonadati; Bacteroidota; Bacteroidia; Bacteroidales; Bacteroidaceae.